AGGGUUUGAUUAUGGCUCAGGAUGAACGCUAGCUACAGGCUUAACACAUGCAAGUCGAGGGGAAACGACAUCGAAAGCUUGCUUUUGAUGGGCGUCGACCGGCGCACGGGUGAGUAACGCGUAUCCAACCUGCCCAUCACUUGGGAAUAACCUUGCGAAAGUAAGACUAAUACCCAAUGAUAUCCCACGAAGGCAUCCGAAUGGGAUUAAAGAUUUAUCGGUGAUGGAUGGGGAUGCGUCUGAUUAGCUUGUUGGCGGGGUAACGGCCCACCAAGGCAACGAUCAGUAGGGGUUCUGAGAGGAAGGUCCCCCACAUUGGAACUGAGACACGGUCCAA
This 337-nucleotide ribosomal RNA is filed under the name uncultured bacterium. RNAcentral describes it as "bacterial SSU rRNA". It matches the Rfam family "Bacterial small subunit ribosomal RNA", at positions 8 to 334 of the family's 1533-position model. The record is from RNAcentral.